Molecule: long non-coding RNA, 373 nt
Filed under: Gallus gallus (chicken)
Lineage: Eukaryota; Metazoa; Chordata; Aves; Galliformes; Phasianidae
Description: lncRNA (ENSGALG00010003679.1)
Source: RNAcentral
CCGGGUCUCAGGAGCGCUCUGUUCCGGUGCUUCCUUCUCUUCUGGCUGUGGUGUCUCUGGUAGCUCUGAAUGGGGCCCGUCCAUCCCUUUGAGCUUCUUGUUCUGUCCUCGUCUUCAGAGUUCUGUUUUACACAGUCCAUAGGGGAGCUGCCUCUGCCCAUGCGGUGCGGAUCCUCAGGCUGCCUGUAGGAGCACAUUGGGGUGCAGAGCGGGACGGGUGCCUUCCUCAUGCAUCAGUCGGUGCCUUGGCCAGGUGCAGACAUGGGCUGGUUGGAGGAGGCUGCGCUGCUCUGGUUCUGUGCGUGUCCAGAUGUCUGUCUGCAAGGCAGAGGGGAUGCACGAGAGGAGCAGCCUCCUGCCCUGCUUCCCUGUG